UGCUGCUCCAUCUGAAAGCAGGUGAUGGCAAUUUACUACUAAUCAAGGAACCGGCUUCACUGACGAGAUGCGCAUGAUAUCGCAUGCGAUUUAUCAUGCAUCGCUAUAAACUACAUUAGUGACAACACAGCUUAGAGUAUAAACAUGUACAUUUCUCUGAAUCUGAGUUAAUAGUUACAAAUACAGAGCUUAUAAUGUCUGUCAUUGCUCAACCACAAAGACCUAAAGUACAGCCAUCUGAUUUCAUAACUAAUGCAGUAUUACACUGUGAAGUGAUUUACUGUUAAUAUUUUACACUACCAUAUAAUUAACUAUAUUUGUACAGGUGAGGUAACACAACGAAAAAAUAACAGGAUGGAGACUAACUGAUUCUUCACCUAUGGCCUUAGCUUCAAAUGCAAGAAGUCCAGCAACUGUCUGAGCUGGUGGAUAUUCUAUCAGAGACUGCAUGAACAAUAAUGAUGUCUAAUUGUCUUAUGGCAAAGUUCAAUAUGAGGGUUGGUGGACAUCUGGAAAAGAAGUCUUUUAAAGGCACACCUUUGUAUUAUGUUAUUGAAGGUAAUUUGGGGAAUAUGUUGAUCUAAAAAAAAAACUCUUGUUCUUGUAUAUUGAUGUAAUUUUUAUUGCUAUGAUUUAUGUAUUUAGGGGACAUCACAGCUCACCUUUCUUUAUCAGAAAUGUCCUGUUCAUUUUUUGACAGUUACACACCUAGUUUAGGGUCUUUCUCAAGGGCACCACAGUGGGAUUGAAGAGCAAGGGGACAAAUGCUGUUGGUCUCACAACUGAUCUAACACUUAUUUAAAGCAUAACA
Non-coding RNA from Paramisgurnus dabryanus, 811 nucleotides. The record is from RefSeq and is a predicted model, not a curated record. NCBI's taxonomy places the organism in Eukaryota, Metazoa, Chordata, Actinopteri, Cypriniformes, Cobitidae.